Molecule: ribosomal RNA, 372 nt
Filed under: uncultured organism
Description: bacterial SSU rRNA
Rfam family: Bacterial small subunit ribosomal RNA
Source: RNAcentral
CGGGGGGAGCAAGCGUUGUUCGGAUUUACUGGGCGUAAAGCGCGCGCAGGCCGUCCUUUAAGUCUGAUGUGAAAGCCCACGGCUCAACCGUGGAGGGUCAUUGGAAACUGGGGGACUUGAGUACAGAAGAGAAGAGUGGAAUUCCACGUGUAGCGGUGAAAUGCGUAGAGAUGUGGAGGAACACCAGUGGCGAAGGCGACUCUUUGGUCUGUAACUGACGCUGAGGCGCGAAAGCGUGGGGAGCAAACAGGAUUAGAUACCCUGGUAGUCCACGCUGUAAACGAUGAGUGCUAAGUGUUAGAGGGUUUCCGCCCUUUAGUGCUGCAGCUAACGCAUUAAGCACUCCGCCUGGGGAGUACGGCCGCAAGGCUG